This 255-nucleotide ribosomal RNA is filed under the name uncultured bacterium. Its description in RNAcentral is "partial 16S ribosomal RNA". It matches the Rfam family "Bacterial small subunit ribosomal RNA", at positions 524 to 777 of the family's 1533-position model. The record is from RNAcentral.
UACGAAGGGGGCUAGCGUUGUUCGGAAUUACUGGGCGUAAAGCGCGUGUAGGCGGGUCUUUUAAGUCAGGGGUGAAAUGCCAGGGCUCAACCUUGGAACUGCCUUUGAUACUGGAGACCUUGAGUCCGGGAGAGGUGAGUGGAAUUGCGAGUGUAGAGGUGAAAUUCGUAGAUAUUCGCAAGAACACCAGUGGCGAAGGCGGCUCACUGGCCCGGAACUGACGCUGAGACGCGAAAGCGUGGGGAGCAAACAGGG